Bombus terrestris (buff-tailed bumblebee) is the source of this 4634-nucleotide long non-coding RNA. RefSeq lists it as uncharacterized. The transcript has 2 exons. The record is from RefSeq and is a predicted model, not a curated record. NCBI's taxonomy places the organism in Eukaryota, Metazoa, Arthropoda, Insecta, Hymenoptera, Apidae.
CUGAUUGCUUUCGUAUGUUUGGAAUCGACUUGCCGGUAAUAACGCCAUUUCAUACGUAAUAUUCAUCGUAAACGUUUUUACUAAGAGCUUGGACACAACGCAUUUUUCGAGUGAAUAGUGAGAUUAUAUUCUCGAAAUGUUUACGAUUUAGCAUCAUUUAUACCCACAUUAUAUAGGAUGAGUGCCAGAUAAAUGCAGGGGAACGGGAAAUAUCGGCGGGUGAUUGCGACGUGCGUUGUUUUAGGAAGAGAUGCGCGCGCACAAUGGCCACGUAUAACAUCACGCGACAUAGGAAAAGAAUCGAGAGAGACGACCGAGAGAGAAUACGUACUCGGUUGUUUCUAGCGUGUGUGUGUGUAUGUUGUUAUUGUGUGUGUGCGCGCGCGCCCGCGCGAGGGAGCGUCACGGUGAGAUGAAACACCAGGAAAGAAGAGAAAGAAAGGAGUAUGUAUGGAAAAGAGAAACAGAAAAAGAUAGACGCAACAUUAUUCGAGUUCUAUAGUAGUUGAAAUACGCGCACACACAUAAGAGCGCUUAUAAUUUUUAUGCUACGCGCAGACUCGUGUUGACUAUCGAAGUUUGUUUUCAAUCAGCCAGCAUCGCGUGAACUUGUUGCCCGUAUAAUUGGUAUAGUAUUGCGUGAAAGUUUAAUGAACAAAAGCACAUCAUUGUUGCAUCAUCCACAUCAUAGAUGUGAUAAUCAACCAGAUAUCGACCAUAUCACAUCGAAGUAACAAAUCGAGAAAAAUGUUCGAUUGCAGAAGGAGCAUAUAUACUUUAUGUACAUCCUUGUACAGUACGUUCGUAUAAACGAAUAGGAAAUUGAGCUUUUGGCUUUUUAUACAAUUUUAUAAACAAUCGCUUGAAAACAACGUUUAAUUCAAACAUCGAGGAGAUUUAAUCGUUGAUCAGAAUCAACAAAUAUUAUUACGUAAAAAUGGAAUGCAUCGAACGAGUUUUUACGCUCUUAGCCUGAAAACACGACAGAUUUCUUGUCUAAAUAGAAAAUUUAAAGGACAAUGUUGUUUGGUCGCACAAAAUAACAGCAUAAACCGGUUUCUGCACGUGGCAAGAGUUGCUCGAUCGUGCCCGGUGAACCGGCAGUACCCGACUACAAUACCUACCACCAUGCUAUCGAUUUACGUAACUUUCUUCCACUUUUGACACACAUUCCUCCCUAAGUUAUUUUGAAGUUUCACGAUGACGAAACAGAAGAUAAGGCCAAAUGUGCGUUUGACUACAAGGUGAAAAGGAGUUUAAGGGUUGCGGGUUAUGUAAGUAUAUAUGUAUGUAACUUGAAGAGGCUUCGUAGCUAUGAAUAAUAAACGAAGGAGGGCAAUGUAAGCAGGUGCCAAAGGGAAAGACGUAAUCACGGAGAAACCAAGGAUGAGAAAAGAUAACAAAAGUUGAAUUUUCAAAAUGGUCACUGCUAGUUCAUAAUCGUGAUGUCGAUUGUUUUAGAUAGAAUCGAUCGUUUAAAUCGAUUUGGAAUACAUGUAUUUAUAACGGCGACGUGGGAGCUCGAUUACUACGACUCAUCGAACAAUAUUUGUAAAACCACGGAGAUGACCACGAAACUGUAUUGGUACAAAUUUAUCUAAUUACUUUAAAUUCUAUGCAUGACAUGAUGAAAUCAUCGCGAAUUCAUUAAUUUUAACGAGUUAUUAUCGUUCUUCGGUAACCAAUGACUCAUCCAAACGGGAUUAUCGCUGUACUCUAUCUAUUAUCGUUUAACGAAGCGAGAGAAAUGCGCGUUGCAAACUUGUAUUGUGAAUUCACCUAGUGACGUCUUUCAAAAAUAAACGAAAUUUUGGAUAAAUUACAGCGAUAUUUGGUUCUUGAAUAGCUAAUCGAAUUGUCAAGCUGUUAUCGUUAGAAUUCGAUUUGGAAUAAUGGUUAAUGACAUUUAGUUUAACAGUGAGAGAAGAAAACAGGUAAUGUGUGAACGAUGUGUGUAUUACAUAUCCGGUGUUAAUAAAGUUAAAGCAGAGUAAUUACGGAGUGAUACAAGACGCGCAUACUAUGUUAUGUAAUUUGCCAAGCCGAUCACUCAGAAUGAAUUGUUCAUCUCUCUAAAACUUUUAUUCAUAAACUUAUGCAUGUCUUUGAAUGAAGGUAUGGCUUAUUUAAAAGCAGGAUCGGCUAACAGUUAAGAAAUAGGUUAUGAUGAUUCGAAUUUGAAUAUUUUGGCGUUUAAUAUAACCUUUAAUAAGUCGAGCAAUAACAACGACGACAGGUUAUGAAAACCGAUAAGAUAGUUUAAACGAAUAAUAAUACCGAAGUAGAUAGAUUUUCAGAGUUUUACGUAAUAUAAAUCGUUGGAUAAAACAAUCGGGAUUGAUACGUGGAAAAAAAGAAGUUGGUAAAUACGAUAGAGGGCGAAAAAGAACCGAAUUUGUUCGAAUUACGUUACUUGUUUAAAAGAUAGUGAGAAGUAAUUGUGAUUUUCUUAUUUUGAGUGUUCACGCAUGGCUAUGCGAAUUCGCGAUUGCAAAUAUUUUCGAAAAGAAAUUGCCGUCGAAUAAAUUUUCUCAAGAGCUAAUUGAUCCAUAAGCAACGAAGAUAAAAGGAGCGAGAACGAUAUACUCGACGAGCGUCGAUUGUCGAGCGUCGAGCGUGAAGGCAUGAUUUCACGCAGCACGUGGAUCCACGAUUCAGGGUCAAAUAAUAGGACGCGCAGAAGUUUUUGUCCAAGGUCUUCCGCAUGAUAUUCAGUUUUGGUUGACUGUUUUAUCACGCGUAAAUUUUACACAACACCUUUGACGUUUUGUAUUUUUUGUUUGAAUGGCAAGCUUAUUUAUGCUUUGGAAGCGAUAAAUUACAUACAGACUUAUAUCUACCUAUACCUACUUUCAAGAAGAGAACGAUGCGUCGUAGGUAUAUGUUUGGUUAUUGCAACUAAUCUAAUUCUAUUCGAUAUCAUAGUAAAAAGAUAUCUUGCUACAAUGUACAAGAAUUCGGAACUCCUUUUUCCUUUCAAAGUUUGAUCCUUUUUGAUUCGCCACGACAAUGUAUAUAGGAGCAAUAUUCGCAUACUUCGUAUCGUAUAAAUACAUAAAUGUAUGUACAUGUAAUUCAUUACUCGUUAUCUUAAGAUCAAAGGGACGUAUAUACAUAUAUCCGUUGAUAGAUAUUAUCGAAUGGUAUCGAAAGCGAGAGAAAGAGAGAAUGAGCACCUUGAAUAGCGUAGAGUAUAGAAUGUAUGAAACAGUAUUACCAAGAGAGAGCGAGAGCGAGGGUGAGGGCGAGGGCGAGGGCGAGAGAGAGAAAAGUAUCAAUCAUAUUUCCAAAAAGAUUUUUAUUUGUAAUUCUAUCGUUAGGUAUUGCUUAAAGUUCUCACUAAAUCUAGUAGAUUCUUACGACGACGUAAUAAGACGCGGAAAUAAUUUAGUUCGUUUGUGACCGCAUCGGUACAGUUAGUAUCAGAAUUAAUUGCAAAUCCACGUUUUCGCGAGCGAAUUAAUCAAAGUCUUAGUUUAUAAAUUAAGCCAAUAUUUAUAAACACUUAAUAAACUGUAAAUUAAGGAGAGGAUACGAGAAUUUCGAUGAUUAACAGUGUACGGUUUGAAAAACGGACGAAACCAUCCUCCGUGAAAAAUGCCAACGAACUUGCUUGACCCGAGAGAAAGACCAGUGGCCUGAUCUGGUAUCGAUCACACAUCAAAUUUUCUACGAUUCUGCGUUUCGUAGCUUUACCGUAUUCCAUGUUUUUCGCCGAUCGGAUCGUUAAAACAUCAAACCGGUACUAUCCAAUAGCAACCUUGCAUUUGCCAGUUUCUACGAUCUACCCUAUAGGCUCUGUAGCCUUGACUUUAUUGUAGCAAACGCGUAUAGAUUUACAUACAUAUGUGCCUGAGUACCUUUAUUAUGACUGUGUCGCGAUAUCGCUAUCUCUCUUUUCCCCCUUUUCUUUUUGUAGCAACGACAUGCAAAUUAUAUUCAUCAGCGAAACUUGUCGCGUGUAUCUGUCUCUUCUUCUUUUAUCUUAUUUCCCAGAAACGAACAUCCUUAUAGAUUCGCCUUCAUAAGGAUCCCUUUUGCGGUGAUACGUAAUGUACGUACUACUUAGGUAUGUACAUGCGAUCAAUGAUGUCUCGUGAUAGUUCAACGCACACCAAAUAAAAAGAUAGAAAAUAGUAAAUAUUUUCUGCGGAACGAGCGCGAUAAGAUUAAGCAAGUGGUACUUCUCUUUCGCUUCUUGCGAUGUACAAAGCGCGAUUCCUAGCGAUAAAGACAAGCUGUUGAACAAGCGAAUCGAAGGCAAACUCGCGAAUAGAUAAUGAGAAUAUUAGAAGUGAAUUAAAGGCGAAUACCCGAAUAGAAAUGCGACGAGGUUCGAAUUGUCAGAUAAUUUUCGAAGAUCGGACAUUUUGGACGAAUAUAUAAUCGUAUUACGUGUAAUCUGACCUAUUACGAGAAACGAGAUAACGAGUUCGUCUCACGUGAUAUAUUGAUAUACUUGUCUGCGCGACAUUGACCAGAAAUGUUUUUACAAAACAAAUAUCCGAGAGAGGGAAGAGAAUAACGUUGCUUGCGCGUUGAUAUUCUUACGAUAAAAUUAUACAAGUUUGCACGAUAUCGAUAACGUCGUUAUUGAUAAGCUUGUAAAUAAACAAUAAAUUCUGUAAUCUAUA